This 465-nucleotide ribosomal RNA is filed under the name uncultured bacterium. RNAcentral describes it as "partial 16S ribosomal RNA". It matches the Rfam family "Bacterial small subunit ribosomal RNA", at positions 338 to 795 of the family's 1533-position model. The record is from RNAcentral.
CCUACGGGUGGCUGCAGUGAGGAAUAUUGGUCAAUGGACGCAAGUCUGAACCAGCCAUGCCGCGUGAGGGAUGAAGGUCUUCGGAUCGUACACCUCUGUCAGCAGGGAAGAACGGUCACUGUGCUAAUCAGCAGUGAAUUGAUGGUACCUGCAAAGGAAGCACCGGCUAACUCCGUGCCAGCAGCCGCGGUAAUACGGAGGGUGCGAGCGUUAAUCGGAAUUACUGGGCGUAAAGCGCUCGUAGGCGGUAUGUCAAGUCAAGUGUGAAAUCCCCGCGCUCAACGUGGGAACUGCCUGUGAAACUGGCAAACUGGAGUGUGUGAGAGGAUAGUGGAAUUCCAGGUGUAGGAGUGAAAUCCGUAGAUAUCUGGAGGAACAUCAGUGGCGAAGGCGACUAUCUGGCACAUAACUGACGCUGAGGAGCGAAAGCGUGGGUAGCAAACAGGAUUAGAUACCCGGGUAGUC